CGAAUCUUCCGCAAUGCACGAAAGUGUGACGGGGCAAUGCCGCGUGUGGGAUGAAGCCCUUCGGGGUGUAAACUACUGUCAGGGACUACCAACAACAUGAGGAGUCCCAAAGGAAGAGCCGGCUAACUCUGUGCCAGCAGCCGCGGUAAUACAGAGGGCUCGAGCGUUAAUCGGAAUCACUGGGCUUAAAGCGUGCGUAGGCGGAUUUGAAGGCGCUUUGUGAAAUCCCUCGGCUCAACCGAGGAACUGCUUGGCGAACCACAAAUCUUGAGGCUGGUAGAGGUGGUCGGAACAAUAGGUGGAGCGGUGAAAUGCGUAGAUAUCUAUUGGAACACCGAAGGUGAAGACAGGCCACUGGGCCAGUCCUGACGCUGAGGCACGAAAGCGUGGGUAGCAAACGGGAUUAGAUACCCCGGUAGUCCACGCCGUAAACGAUGCGCACUUGGUCGAGGGGGUUGAACGCCUUCUCGGCCGUAGGAAAACUGAUUAGUGCGCCGCCUGGGGAGUACGGUCGCAAGAUUAAAACUCAAAUGAAUUGACGG
This 542-nucleotide ribosomal RNA is filed under the name uncultured bacterium. RNAcentral describes it as "bacterial SSU rRNA". It matches the Rfam family "Bacterial small subunit ribosomal RNA", at positions 358 to 916 of the family's 1533-position model. The record is from RNAcentral.